UUUGUAGAUGUUAAAAGUAAGAGACAUGGGAGAGCAUCAUUCCUUUGAGAUUUUAUAACUCAAACCAACUUUGGAGUUGUCUGAUUUGGAGAGUCAUUAUUCUGGUUCUUCGCUCUUAGAGGCCACUGAUGAAGAACAGGCGGUGACUGGGAUGAAUGCUGGUCAGAGAGGAGAAUCUUCUUUCCCCUAAACAGCGGUGGUUUUAAAGGAGGACGCUGCCCUGGAUGAUGUAGAAGAUGUCACAAAGAGAUCAUGAAAAUUGACUGUGAUGCAUGAUCUGUAUUCAUGGACUAUGAAACAAACUGUAAGUGUAUAAUUUGUUAAAAAAAAAAAGUUAAAUGCUUUUUCUGUGUUGUUUAGUAGAAGAAUUUACACUCUGUCAUUCAUACACCUGCUCACAUUCUUUCACACACACACACACACACGCGUCUGUUAAAUGUUAUAUCAAAGUUAAUGUUGUGAUUUAUUUGUGUACUGUCAUGCAAGAAUAGUUGGUAAAUUUAUUGUAUGUGUUUUCAUAUAUUUUUAUACAAUAUAUACAAAUGAACAAAGUCCAAUUUGAUCUUAAGUUAUAUUCAUCAAAUGUUCAAUGCUUUAUGAACUCUGUAGCUGUUAAUGCCAUCCUUUUCUGCAUUUCUUCUAACAUGUUACUUUUUGACUUUUCUCUUGUUUUUAAUAAAUAUUUUCCUUUUGGUAAUUAUUA
This is a long non-coding RNA of Carassius gibelio (silver crucian carp), 703 nucleotides long. RefSeq lists it as uncharacterized. The transcript is spliced from 3 exons. The record is from RefSeq and is a predicted model, not a curated record. NCBI's taxonomy places the organism in Eukaryota, Metazoa, Chordata, Actinopteri, Cypriniformes, Cyprinidae.